This 469-nucleotide long non-coding RNA is filed under the name Homo sapiens (human). RNAcentral's name for it is "non-protein coding lnc-FOXC1-2:4". The record is from RNAcentral. Lineage: Eukaryota; Metazoa; Chordata; Mammalia; Primates; Hominidae.
CAGCUACCCUGAGGCCGUGGACUGCAGCUGCACUCCAGUCUUUAAGCCCAGCUGUGCUCGGGUGUCUCACUUUCUACACCCCACCCUCAGCAUCAGAUAUACUCUAUCUCAGAAGCAAAAAGCCAUCCAUGAACAAAGACCUGGGACCAAGCCGACUCAUAAUACUAGUGGGAAACGGCCCCACCAGCAGCCCGCACCUGCAUCCUGCUCUCCCGCUGCCUCACUGGACCCUUGCAGUUAACUGGGACUUCAGCAGAGCAGAGCCUCAUCUUACGGAGGUCAAGUGUCCCACUGCUGCAGGGCCUUCAACCUGGGUGAGACGUGGCCAGGGUGAGGAGAGGGCGGGAUGUGGGCACAUAGCCCAGUACUCUUUCCCAGGCAUCUGCCAUCUGGGGCCAGUGGGUCACACGAGCCUCCCAGCCCACACCACAGCAGCCAUGUCUCAUGCUCCCUCACCAUGCGGGUCCGC